RNAcentral lists this ribosomal RNA (659 nucleotides) under uncultured Escherichia sp. Its description in RNAcentral is "bacterial SSU rRNA". It matches the Rfam family "Bacterial small subunit ribosomal RNA", at positions 70 to 722 of the family's 1533-position model. Lineage: Bacteria; Pseudomonadati; Pseudomonadota; Gammaproteobacteria; Enterobacterales; Enterobacteriaceae. The record is from RNAcentral.
AGAAAGCAGCUUGCUGCUUUGCUGACGAGUGGCGGACGGGUGAGUAAUGUCUGGGAAACUGCCUGAUGGAGGGGGAUAACUACUGGAAACGGUAGCUAAUACCGCAUAACGUCGCAAGACCAAAGAGGGGGACCUUAGGGCCUCUUGCCAUCGGAUGUGCCCAGAUGGGAUUAGCUAGUAGGUGGGGUAACGGCUCACCUAGGCGACGAUCCCUAGCUGGUCUGAGAGGAUGACCAGCCACACUGGAACUGAGACACGGUCCAGACUCCUACGGGAGGCAGCAGUGGGGAAUAUUGCACAAUGGGCGCAAGCCUGAUGCAGCCAUGCCGCGUGUAUGAAGAAGGCCUUCGGGUUGUAAAGUACUUUCAGCGGGGAGGAAGGGAGUAAAGUUAAUACCUUUGCUCAUUGACGUUACCCGCAGAAGAAGCACCGGCUAACUCCGUGCCAGCAGCCGCGGUAAUACGGAGGGUGCAAGCGUUAAUCGGAAUUACUGGGCGUAAAGCGCACGCAGGCGGUUUGUUAAGUCAGAUGUGAAAUCCCCGGGCUCAACCUGGGAACUGCAUCUGAUACUGGCAGGCUUGAGUCUCGUAGAGGGGGGUAGAAUUCCAGGUGUAGCGGUGAAAUGCGUAGAGAUCUGGAGGAAUACCGGUGGCGAAGGC